CUCCCCGUGUCUGGUCCCCAGGAUCCGGCGCUAAGAAACAGGGCGAGGACUUAGCGGAUAAUGACGGGGAUGAAGAUGAAGACAUCCGGGACAGUGGUGCUAAACCCGUCAUGGUCUACAUCCACGGAGGCUCUUACAUGGAAGGGACAGGCAACAUGAUUGACGGCAGCGUCCUCGCCAGUUAUGGCAAUGUCAUCGUCAUCACCCUCAACUAUCGGGUUGGAGUGCUAGGUUUCCUGAGUACUGGAGAUCAGGCUGCCAAGGGCAACUAUGGGCUCCUUGACCAGAUCCAGGCCCUCCGCUGGGUGAGCGAGAAUAUUGCCUUCUUCGGGGGAGACCCCCGCCGGAUCACUGUCUUUGGCUCAGGCAUUGGUGCAUCCUGCGUCAGCCUCCUCACGUUGUCACAUCACUCAGAGGGACUUUUCCAGAGAGCCAUCAUCCAAAGUGGCUCUGCUCUGUCCAGCUGGGCUGUGAACUACCAACCAGUGAAGUACACCAGCCUGCUGGCAGACAAAGUGGGCUGUAAUGUGCUGGACACCGUGGAUAUGGUGGACUGUCUUCGGCAAAAGAGUGCCAAGGAGCUGGUAGAGCAGGACAUCCAGCCAGCCCGCUACCACGUGGCCUUUGGCCCUGUGAUUGAUGGUGAUGUCAUUCCUGAUGACCCUGAGAUCCUCAUGGAGCAGGGCGAGUUCCUCAACUAUGACAUCAUGCUAGGUGUCAACCAGGGCGAGGGUCUCAAGUUUGUGGAAGGGGUGGUGGACCCUGAGGAUGGUGUCUCUGGCACUGACUUUGACUAUUCCGUCUCCAAUUUUGUGGACAAUCUGUAUGGCUAUCCUGAGGGUAAGGACACCCUGCGAGAGACCAUCAAGUUCAUGUAUACAGACUGGGCAGACCGUGACAACCCUGAGACCCGCCGUAAAACACUGGUGGCACUCUUCACUGACCACCAGUGGGUGGAGCCCUCAGUGGUGACAGCCGAUCUGCAUGCCCGCUACGGCUCGCCUACCUACUUCUACGCCUUCUAUCAUCACUGCCAGAGCCUCAUGAAGCCUGCUUGGUCAGAUGCAGCUCAUGGGGAUGAAGUACCCUAUGUUUUUGGGGUUCCUAUGGUAGGCCCCACUGACCUUUUCCCCUGCAACUUCUCCAAGAAUGAUGUUAUGCUCAGUGCUGUCGUCAUGACCUAUUGGACCAACUUUGCCAAGACUGGGGAUCCCAACAAGCCGGUCCCCCAGGACACCAAGUUCAUUCACACCAAGGCCAACCGCUUUGAGGAAGUGGCCUGGUCCAAAUACAAUCCCCGAGACCAGCUCUACCUUCACAUCGGGCUGAAACCAAGGGUCCGAGAUCAUUACCGGGCCACUAAGGUGGCCUUUUGGAAACAUCUGGUGCCCCACCUAUACAACCUGCAUGACAUGUUCCACUAUACGUCCACCACCACCAAAGUGCCGCCUCCGGAUACCACCCACAGCUCCCACAUCACCCGCAGGCCCAAUGGCAAGACCUGGAGCACCAAGCGGCCAGCCAUCUCACCUGCCUACAGCAACGAGAACGCCCAGGGGUCCUGGAACGGGGACCAGGAUGCAGGGCCACUACUGGUGGAGAACCCUCGUGACUACUCCACUGAAUUAAGUGUCACCAUCGCCGUGGGGGCCUCCCUCCUCUUCCUUAACGUUCUGGCCUUCGCUGCCCUCUACUACCGUAAGGACAAACGGCGCCAGGAGCCCCUGCGGCAGCCUAGCCCUCAGCGGGGAGCCGGGGCCCCGGAAUUGGGAGCUGCUCCAGAGGAGGAGCUGGCAGCGUUACAACUGGGCCCCACCCACCACGAGUGUGAGGCCGGUCCCCCCCAUGACACACUGCGCCUCACUGCAUUGCCCGACUACACCCUGACCCUGCGGCGCUCCCCGGAUGACAUCCCACUCAUGACCCCCAACACCAUCACUAUGAUCCCCAACUCCCUGGUAGGGCUGCAGACAUUGCACCCCUAUAACACCUUUGCCGCAGGGUUCAACAGUACCGGGCUGCCCCACUCACACUCCACUACCCGGGUAUAGCUCCAACUCAGAGCACAGCCAAUCUCCCGGCUCCCUCCCUCCCAGAUCCAGGAACACAUGCACACACACACACACACACACACGCAGACACACAUACACACACACACACACACACAUAUAUGUAUACGCACGCACCCACACCCUACAGCAGAUCCACCUGCACAAACAUAGACAGAUGUGGACAUGCACCCGCAUGUACAAAAACACAAAUACGGAAGUAAACCUGAACAAACCCUUUAAAUGGGGACACAGAUGAGUCCUCGGUAAACCGAGGACCCAUGAAACAGCAGCUGAAGCCAGCUCCCUGAGUCUGACCACAGACACUCCUGGGGGGCCUGAAAGCAACAGCUGGACACCCCCUUGGUGCUCGCCUUCGGCCUCUCUUGGAACUGCACCACCGACCAACUCCAGACUUGGGAGCUUUAAAGAGCAGGAUAGCUCUUCCUCCCCAGGACUUGGUCUUUUUUCUGGGUCUUGUUUUGUUGAUUUUUCUUUUUUAAUUUUGGAAGAAAUGCUUUUCCAAUCCAUGAGUGCUAAGAGGCUCUGGAAGGGAGGGCUUCAGGCCCGAAGGUCUCUCUGGCUCUAGGAUCCCCAGUGCUCACACAGUUAGACCAAGGAACAGGAUCCCCAGGAAGGAAACAGAUUCAAGCAAGACCAUGGGGUGGAAUGAGAAAGGGGCUAGCAAUGGAUGGGGCUGGAGGGCGGUAGGGGAGAGAUCUCCACCUCUCUCUGUGUCCGUGUGGAGGGCUGCAGAGCCUGCAGGGUGACCUGCUUCCCCAAAGGCCAACAGCGUUGGCCUGGCCAGACCAGGGGACCUUAGAUUUGGUGAAAAACGUACUAUGGAAGCCACAUCACUAUUGGGCCCCCAGGUCUGAUCUGGGUUUUGCCUCUGCCCUUGGGGAAAUGCUACAGAAAUUCGCCCCAUUUUCUUUACAGUCUUUUGUGUCUGUCAUUUCUCUUUCAAAAAGGCGGUGUUUUUUGUUGUUGUUGGCUCUCUUUUUUUUUAAAGAAAAGUUCUUAAAACACUAACGGAAACCCAUGGAGUUUGUCCUUUGUAAAAAUUUUAAACACAGUGUCUUGAUAUAAAAAUAAAAAAUCCAGUUAGCACUCCC
RNAcentral lists this small RNA (3163 nucleotides) under Pongo abelii (Sumatran orangutan). RNAcentral describes it as "processed transcript". Lineage: Eukaryota; Metazoa; Chordata; Mammalia; Primates; Hominidae. The record is from RNAcentral.